GGUCAAGUGAAGAAGCGCAUACGGUGGAUGCCUUGGCAGUCAGAGGCGAUGAAAGACGUGGUAGCCUGCGAUAAGCUUUGGGGAGUCGGCAAACAGACUGUGAUCCAGAGAUCUCUGAAUGGGGGAACCCACUCAGCAUAAGCUGAGUAUCUUGUACUGAAUACAUAGGUGCAAGAGGCGAACCAGGGGAACUGAAACAUCUAAGUACCCUGAGGAAAAGAAAUCAACCGAGAUUCCCUUAGUAGUGGCGAGCGAACGGGGACCAGCCCUUAAGUUGAUUUGAGAUUAGUGGAACGCUCUGGAAAGUGCGGCCAUAGUGGGUGAUAGCCCCGUACACGAAAAUCUCUUGUCAAUGAAAUCGAGUAGGACGGAGCACGAGAAACUUUGUCUGAAUAUGGGGGGACCAUCCUCCAAGGCUAAAUACUACUGACUGACCGAUAGUGAACCAGUACCGUGAGGGAAAGGCGAAAAGAACCCCGGAGAGGGGAGUGAAAUAGAACCUGAAACCGUAUGCGUACAAGCAGUGGGAGCCUACUUUGUUAGGUGACUGCGUACCUUUUGUAUAAUGGGUCAGCGACUUAUAUUCAGUGGCGAGCUUAACCGAAUAGGGGAGGCGUAGCGAAAGCGAGUCUUAAUAGGGCGUUUAGUCGCUGGGUAUAGACCCGAAACCGGGCGAUCUAUCCAUGGGCAGGUUGAAGGUUAGGUAACACUGACUGGAGGACCGAACCGACUACCGUUGAAAAGUUAGCGGAUGACCUGUGGAUCGGAGUGAAAGGCUAAUCAAGCUCGGAGAUAGCUGGUUCUCCUCGAAAGCUAUUUAGGUAGCGCCUCAUGUAUCACUCCAGGGGGUAGAGCACUGUUUCGGCUAGGGGGUCAUCCCGACUUACCAAACCGAUGCAAACUCCGAAUACCUGGAAGUGCCGAGCAUGGGAGACACACGGCGGGUGCUAACGUCCGUCGUGAAAAGGGAAACAACCCAGACCGUCAGCUAAGGUCCCAAAGUCAUGGUUAAGUGGGAAACGAUGUGGGAAGGCUUAGACAGCUAGGAGGUUGGCUUAGAAGCAGCCACCCUUUAAAGAAAGCGUAAUAGCUCACUAGUCGAGUCGGCCUGCGCGGAAGAUGUAACGGGGCUCAAACCAUGCACCGAAGCUACGGGUGUCAUCUUUGAUGACGCGGUAGAGGAGCGUUCUGUAAGCCUGUGAAGGUGAGUUGAGAAGCUUGCUGGAGGUAUCAGAAGUGCGAAUGCUGACAUGAGUAACGACAAUGCGAGUGAAAAACUCGCACGCCGAAAGACCAAGGUUUCCUGCGCAACGUUAAUCGACGCAGGGUUAGUCGGUCCCUAAGGCGAGGCUGAAAAGCGUAGUCGAUGGAAAACAGGUUAAUAUUCCUGUACUUCCAGUUAUUGCGAUGGAGGGACGGAGAAGGUUAGGCCAGCCUGGCGUUGGUUGUCCAGGUUUAAGGUGGUAGGCUGAAAUCUUAGGCAAAUCCGGGAUUUCAAGGCCGAGAGCUGAUGACGAGUUGCCU
This 1524-nucleotide ribosomal RNA is filed under the name Pseudomonas asiatica. RNAcentral's name for it is "partial 23S ribosomal RNA". It matches the Rfam family "Bacterial large subunit ribosomal RNA", at positions 1 to 1579 of the family's 2925-position model. Lineage: Bacteria; Pseudomonadati; Pseudomonadota; Gammaproteobacteria; Pseudomonadales; Pseudomonadaceae. RNAcentral also lists the same sequence under 4 other names. The record is from RNAcentral.